UCUUCCGUGGCGCAAUUGGCUAGCGCGUCUGACUGUUAAUUUAAUAGCUUCUCAAGAAGCAGUUGAUAGCGAUCAGGAGGUUGACAGUUCAAGCCUGUCCGGGAGAG
Phyllosticta paracitricarpa is the source of this 107-nucleotide non-coding RNA. The record is from the annotation of a GenBank genome assembly. NCBI's taxonomy places the organism in Eukaryota, Fungi, Ascomycota, Dothideomycetes, Botryosphaeriales, Phyllostictaceae.